This 667-nucleotide ribosomal RNA is filed under the name Salmonella enterica subsp. enterica serovar Meleagridis. RNAcentral describes it as "partial 23S ribosomal RNA". It matches the Rfam family "Bacterial large subunit ribosomal RNA", at positions 593 to 1260 of the family's 2925-position model. The record is from RNAcentral. Lineage: Bacteria; Pseudomonadati; Pseudomonadota; Gammaproteobacteria; Enterobacterales; Enterobacteriaceae.
GUGACUGCGUACCUUUUGUAUAAUGGGUCAGCGACUUAUAUUCUGUAGCAAGGUUAACCGAAUAGGGGAGCCGCAGGGAAACCGAGUCUUAAUUGGGCGUUAAGUUGCAGGGUAUAGACCCGAAACCCGGUGAUCUAGCCAUGGGCAGGUUGAAGGUUGGGUAACACUAACUGGAGGACCGAACCGACUAAUGUUGAAAAAUUAGCGGAUGACCUGUGGCUGGGGGUGAAAGGCCAAUCAAACCGGGAGAUAGCUGGUUCUCCCCGAAAGCUAUUUAGGUAGCGCCUCGUGAAUUCAUCUCCGGGGGUAGAGCACUGUUUCGGCUAGGGGGCCAUCCCGGCUUACCAACCCGAUGCAAACUGCGAAUACCGGAGAAUGUUAUCACGGGAGACACACGGCGGGUGCUAACGUCCGUCGUGAAGAGGGAAACAACCCAGACCGCCAGCUAAGGUCCCAAAGUCAUGGUUAAGUGGGAAACGAUGUGGGAAGGCCCAGACAGCCAGGAUGUUGGCUUAGAAGCAGCCAUCAUUUAAAGAAAGCGUAAUAGCUCACUGGUCGAGUCGGCCUGCGCGGAAGAUGUAACGGGGCUAAACCAUGCACCGAAGCUGCGGCAGCGACACUGUGUGUUGUUGGGUAGGGGAGCGUUCUGUAAGCCUGCGAAGGUGGC